RNAcentral lists this ribosomal RNA (510 nucleotides) under uncultured bacterium. RNAcentral describes it as "partial 16S ribosomal RNA". It matches the Rfam family "Bacterial small subunit ribosomal RNA", at positions 28 to 507 of the family's 1533-position model. The record is from RNAcentral.
GACGAACGCUGGCGGCGUGCUUAACACAUGCAAGUCGAACGAAGAGCGAUGGAAGCUUGCUUCUAUCAAUCUUAGUGGCGAACGGGUGAGUAACGCGUAAUCAACCUGCCCUUCAGAGGGGGACAACAGUUGGUAACGACUGCUAAUACCGCAUACGAUCUAAUCUCGGCAUCGAGGAUAGAUGAAAGGUGGCCUCUACAUGUAAGCUAUCACUGAAGGAGGGGAUUGGGUCUGAUUAGCUAGUUGGAGGGGUAACGGCCCACCAAGGCGAUGAUCAGUAGCCGGUCUGAGAGGAUGAACGGCCACAUUGGGACUGAGACACGGCCCAGACUCCUACGGGAGGCAGCAGUGGGGAAUCUUCCGCAAUGGACGAAAGUCUGACGGAGCAACGCCGCGUGAGCGAUGACGGCCUUCGGGUUGUAAAGCUCUGUUAAUCGGGACGAAAGGCCUUCUUGCGAAUAGUGAGAAGGAUUGACGGUACCGGAAGAGAAAGCCACGGCUAACUACGUG